GCUCUAUAUUUCUUUCCAUUUUUUUCUCCAAAUUUGUCCUUCAAACGUAAUAGAAUUAAUUGAGUUAAAUGAAGUUGAUCCAAAGCAGCUUAUACCACACAUGAGAUAUGCUAACAUUUAGAUCUCACGUCAGCCAUAUAUCACUAGAGCAGAAAACUCGAAGUAUGAAAGAAAAACACAAAGAUCCUUCUGAUUUUGUGGGAAAGUGAGGUUGAGGGAAAUAACUAACAAUCACCUUUUGUUCUACAGAGAAGCAGUGAGAGCCGAGAGCUUCAGACACGUUAGAAAUAAUAUGAAGUAUUUGAAUCAAUUAUAUGUGGCAACAAAGAAUAAUUCUAUUUUCAUGGGUCAACCACUAAUUGCAGUAUAAUGUUCUCAGCACUUUCAUCUGUCGUGGCUGAGAAAUAUUAAUGGGACACUUAAGACCAAGGCUUCAGCACAACUAUUGGGUAAUUAGGGCAUGAAUCCCCACGCAUACUUAAUGGUACGAUAUAGGGCCAGGCUAACUGUAGAGUAGGGGUGGCUUCAGAAUGACAGUACAGAGGAACACCUCCUUGGUGUCUGUAACUUUAAGACAUCAGAUUAAAUUGAGUACGUUGAAAAGGAUUGUACUGAAAUAGCCCAGACUGUGUUUCUCUUCUAAUUAGUUUAUUUACAAAGUUUAAUUCAUCUAUUUUUCCAAAAAGACAUUUCUCUGGACUGCCCUACAAUUCUGUUAUAGUCUUUUAGUUACUGAAAUCCAGCUCAAAACAUAAGUUCAUUUUCCUUUUAAAAGGGAAUUUAUUGUGUCAAAUAAUGGAAAAGCCAGAAGCCAGCGUCCCAGGCAUGGUGGAUCCAGGUGCGUAAAUGGUGUCCUCAGGUAUCUGUUCCUACUCUCCUGUGUUCCCACCUGGUGAUGAAGGUGGUCAACAGGAGGUUCAGGCCUCACCUUACAAGUUUAGCAACCCUGCUAUAAAGAGCAAUAAGGCUCUUGUUAGCCUAGCUGUGGUUACAAUUGCGGCCCUAAACACAUCACCUGGUCAGGGGGAUGCUGUCCAUUGGCCAAGCUUAAGUCCCAGGCCCACCACUGAAGCCACACUUGGCAGAAUCUCUCAUCCAUCAAAUGGCAGAAGGUAGUUCUUUGAUGGAAACUGACUCCACAGCCUGGAAAAGGGGGGAUGAAUGUUGGGCAGACAGAAAUCACAACAGACAUCUUUUGUGAAAUUUUAAAUAACUUUUGGAAUAUUAAUUGCUACUCUGUCUAGCCUGACCAUUUCCAGGCUUGCUAAAGGAACUAGAGCAAGGCUGACUUGAGAUGCUGAUAGAAGCUUUGGUUCUGCAUUUGAGGGUAAAAGAAGGAGCAGUUUGAAGAGAAUGUGGAAUAUUGAGCUGUCCAUCUGUCUUUCUCUCUGAGGAUGCAAAGGCAGGAAUGAUUAGAUGUACAUUUACUGGUGGAUCACUGACUUUUUAAAACUCCUAUGAAAAAGCAACCUGUAAUUUUUUGAGAUUUUAGAAAUGAUUAAAUGAAUCUGCUCUAGUCAUCUACCCCAAUGGAAAAUACAACAGACACUUAUUUAAUCUAGCUUUACAUUUAAAAGGGUUAUAUGAUAGAAUAGGUUUCUUGGAAAAUGUGAAGAAUUCUGUUUCUAGAACUUUCUGUUUGGUCAAAGAAUGAGUAUUGUACAGUCACAAACACAUGGCCAGCCACCUGAGAAAAGGUGGCAUCAAGGUGAUACCAUGUCAU
Molecule: long non-coding RNA, 1723 nt
Organism: Sapajus apella (tufted capuchin)
Lineage: Eukaryota; Metazoa; Chordata; Mammalia; Primates; Cebidae
Exons: 4
Source: RefSeq, a predicted model, not a curated record